Molecule: ribosomal RNA, 252 nt
Filed under: uncultured bacterium
Lineage: Bacteria
Description: partial 16S ribosomal RNA
Rfam family: Bacterial small subunit ribosomal RNA
Source: RNAcentral
UACGUAGGGGGCAAGCGUUGUCCGGAAUCAUUGGGCGUAAAGAGCGUGUAGGCGGCCUGGUAAGUCCGCUGUGAAAGUCCAGGGCUCAACCCUGGAAUGCCGGUGGAAACUGUCAGGCUCGAGUCCGGAAGAGGCGAGUGGAAUUCCUGGUGUAGCGGUGAAAUGCGCAGAUAUCAGGAGGAACACCAAUGGCGAAGGCAGCUCGCUGGGACGGUACUGACGCUGAGACGCGAAGCGUGGGGAGCAAACAGG